CAGGCUUAACACAUGCAAGUCGAGGGGCAGCAUGGUCUUAGCUUGCUAAGGCCGAUGGCGACCGGCGCACGGGUGAGUAACACGUAUCCAACCUGCCGUCUACUCUUGGACAGCCUUCUGAAAGGAAGAUUAAUACAAGAUGGCAUCAUGAGUCCGCAUGUUCACAUGAUUAAAGGUAUUCCGGUAGACGAUGGGGAUGCGUUCCAUUAGAUAGUAGGCGGGGUAACGGCCCACCUAGUCUUCGAUGGAUAGGGGUUCUGAGAGGAAGGUCCCCCACAUUGGAACUGAGACACGGUCCAAACUCCUACGGGAGGCAGCAGUGAGGAAUAUUGGUCAAUGGGCGAGAGCUUGAACCAGCCAAGUAGCGUGAAGGAUGACUGCCCUAUGGGUUGUAAACUUCUUUUAUAAAGGAAUAAAGUCGGGUAUGGAUACCCGUUUGCAUGUACUUUAUGAAUAAGGAUCGGCUAACUCCGUGCCAGCAGCCGCGGUAAUACGGAGGAUCCGAGCGUUAUCCGGAUUUAUUGGGUUUAAAGGGAGCGUAGAUGGAUGUUUAAGUCAGUUGUGAAAGUUUGCGGCUCAACCGUAAAAUUGCAGUUGAUACUGGAUAUCUUGAGUGCAGUUGAGGCAGGCGGAAUUCGUGGUGUAGCGGUGAAAUGCUUAGAUAUCACGAAGAACUCCGAUUGCGAAGGCAGCCUGCUAAGCUGCAACUGACAUUGAGGCCCGAAAGUGUGGGUAUCAAACAGGAUUAGAUACCCUGGUAGUCCACACGGUAAACGAUGAAUACUCGCUGUUUGCGAUAUACUGCAAGCGGCCAAGCGAAAGCGUUAAGUAUUCCACCUGGGGAGUACGCCGGCAACGGUGAAACCCAAAGGAAUUGACGGGGGCCCGCACAAGCGGAGGAACAUGUGGUUUAAUUCGAUGAUACGCGAGGAACCUUACCCGGGCUUAAAUUGCAGAUGAAUUACGGUGAAAGCCGUAAGCCGCAAGGCAUCUGUGAAGGUGCUGCAUGGUUGUCGUCAGCUCGUGCCGUGAGGUGUCGGCUUAAGUGCCAUAACGAGCGCAACCCUUGUUGUCAGUUACUAACAGGUUCCGCUGAGGACUCUGACAAGACUGCCAUCGUAAGAUGUGAGGAAGGUGGGGAUGACGUCAAAUCAGCACGGCCCUUACGUCCGGGGCUACACACGUGUUACAAUGGGGGGUACAGAGGGCCGCUACCACGCGAGUGGAUGCCAAUCCCCAAAACCUCUCUCAGUUCGGACUGGAGUCUGCAACCCGACUCCACGAAGCUGGAUUCGCUAGUAAUCGCGCAUCAGCCACGGCGCGGUGAAUACGUUCCCGGGCCUUGUACACACCGCCCGUCAAGCCAUGGGAGCCGGGGGUACCUGAAGUGCGUAACCGCGAGGAGCGCCCUAGGGUAAAACUGGUGACUGGGGCUAA
RNAcentral lists this ribosomal RNA (1437 nucleotides) under uncultured bacterium. Its description in RNAcentral is "16S ribosomal RNA". It matches the Rfam family "Bacterial small subunit ribosomal RNA". The record is from RNAcentral.